AUUGAACGCUGGCGGCAGGCCUAACACAUGCAAGUCGAGCGGAUGAAGGGAGCUUGCUCCUGGAUUCAGCGGCGGACGGGUGAGUAAUGCCUAGGAAUCUGCCUGGUAGUGGGGGAUAACGUCCGGAAACGGGCGCUAAUACCGCAUACGUCCUGAGGGAGAAAGUGGGGGAUCUUCGGACCUCACGCUAUCAGAUGAGCCUAGGUCGGAUUAGCUAGUUGGUGGGGUAAAGGCUUACCAAGGCGACGAUCCGUAACUGGUCUGAGAGGAUGAUCAGUCACACUGGAACUGAGACACGGUCCAGACUCCUACGGGAGGCAGCAGUGGGGAAUAUUGGACAAUGGGCGAAAGCCUGAUCCAGCCAUGCCGCGUGUGUGAAGAAGGUCUUCGGAUUGUAAAGCACUUUAAGUUGGGAGGAAGAGCAGUAAGUUAAUACCUUGCUGUUUUGACGUUACCAACAGAAUAAGCACCGGCUAACUUCGUG
This 484-nucleotide ribosomal RNA is filed under the name uncultured bacterium. RNAcentral describes it as "partial 16S ribosomal RNA". It matches the Rfam family "Bacterial small subunit ribosomal RNA", at positions 30 to 507 of the family's 1533-position model. The record is from RNAcentral.